AUCCGGAAUCAUUGGGCGUAAAGCGCCUGUAGGUUGUUUAAUAAGUCUGUUGUUAAAGACUAGGGCUUAACCCUAGGAAAGCAAUGGAAACUACUAGACUAGAGUAUGGCAGGGGUAGAGGGAAUUUCUAGUGUAGCGGUGAAAUGCGUAGAUAUUAGAAAGAACACCGGUGGCGAAAGCGCUCUACUGGACCAUUACUGACACUCAGAGGCGAAAGCUAGGGUAGCAAAAGGGAUUAGAUACCCCUGUAGUCUUAGCCGUAAACGAUGGAUACUAGAUGUUGUGCAUAAUGUACAGUAUCGUAGCUAACGCGUUAAGUAUCCCGCCUGGGGAGUACGCUCGCAAGGGUGAAACUCAAAGGAAUUGACGGGGGCCCGCACAAGCGGUGGAGCAUGUGGUUUAAUUCGAUGCAACGCGAAGAACCUUACCAGGGCUUGACAUACUACAAAUUCUUUAGAGAUAAGGAAGUGCCUUCGGGAAUGUAGAUACAGGUGGUGCAUGGCUGUCGUCAGCUCGUGUCGUGAGAUGUUGGGUUAAGUCCCGCAACGAGCGCAACCCUUAUUUUUAGUUACUAAUUCGUUAGGUUCUCUAGAAAGACUGCCGGUGACAAACCGGAGGAAGGUGAGGAUGACGUCAAGUCAGCAUGCCCCUUAUGUCCUGGGCUACACACGUGCUACAAUGGUUAAGACAAAGGGUCGCGAGCUUGCAAGAGUCAGCUAAUCCCAUAAACAUAGCCUAAGUUCAGAUUGUAGGCUGCAACU
Molecule: ribosomal RNA, 761 nt
Filed under: uncultured marine haptophyte
Lineage: Eukaryota; Haptophyta
Description: bacterial SSU rRNA
Rfam family: Bacterial small subunit ribosomal RNA
Source: RNAcentral